UACGUGCUAAGAAUAUUUGUUGUGUGUUGAUAUUUUCCUUAAUUAUAAUUAGUAUGGCAUUUUCAUUGAAAAAAAUGUUCGGAAAAGGUACAUCUAAGUCCGGUGAAAGUAGUCGCCAAAAUUCUACCCCUCCCCCGGCUUCCCGACCUAGAAAAGAUAAACAAGUUCAAACUAGUAGCCAACCUAGAAAUACUAAUGAAAACNNNN
Molecule: long non-coding RNA, 207 nt
Filed under: Nicotiana benthamiana
Lineage: Eukaryota; Viridiplantae; Streptophyta; Magnoliopsida; Solanales; Solanaceae
Description: long non-coding RNA (NBEN_LNC012688)
Source: RNAcentral